UCUUGACAUCCAGAGAACUUUUUAGAGAUUGAAGGGUGCCUUCGGGAACUCUGUGACAGGUGCUGCAUGGCUGUCGUCAGCUCGUGUUGUGAAAUGUUGGGUUAAGUCCCGCAACGAGCGCAACCCUUAUCCUUGUUUGCCAGCACUUCGGGUGGGAACUCCAGGGAGACUGCCGGUGAUAAACCGGAGGAAGGUGGGGACGACGUCAAGUCAUCAUGGCCCUUACGAGUAGGGCUACACACGUGCUACAAUGGCAUAUACAGAGGGCUGCCAACUCGCGAGAGUGAGCGAAUCCCAUAAAGUAUGUCGUAGUCCGGAUUGGAGUCUGCAACUCGACUCCAUGAAGUCGGAAUCGCUAGUAAUCGUGGAUCAGAAUGCCACGGUGAAUACGUUCCCGGGCCUUGAACACACCGCCCGUC
This 419-nucleotide ribosomal RNA is filed under the name uncultured Vibrionaceae bacterium. RNAcentral's name for it is "bacterial SSU rRNA". It matches the Rfam family "Bacterial small subunit ribosomal RNA", at positions 979 to 1398 of the family's 1533-position model. The record is from RNAcentral. Lineage: Bacteria; Pseudomonadati; Pseudomonadota; Gammaproteobacteria; Vibrionales; Vibrionaceae.